AAAAUGAUGUGUAUAUGAUGAGAGCUCUUAGGAUUUACUCUCUUACCAAUUUUCAUGUACAACAUACAGCAGUGUAAAUUACAUUUAUCACGUUGU
This is a non-coding RNA of Vicugna pacos (alpaca), 96 nucleotides long. NCBI's taxonomy places the organism in Eukaryota, Metazoa, Chordata, Mammalia, Artiodactyla, Camelidae. The record is from RefSeq and is a predicted model, not a curated record.